This 459-nucleotide ribosomal RNA is filed under the name uncultured bacterium. RNAcentral describes it as "bacterial SSU rRNA". It matches the Rfam family "Bacterial small subunit ribosomal RNA", at positions 32 to 518 of the family's 1533-position model. The record is from RNAcentral.
AACGCUGGCGGCGUGCCUAAUACAUGCAAGUCGAAUGGUAGCAAUACCAUGGCGAACGGGUGAGUAACACGUAGGUAACCUGUCCUUAAGACGAGGAUAACCGUUGGGAACGACGGAUAAUACUGGAUAGGAGGAAUUGAGGCAUCUUAAUUCUUUAAAGAUUUAUCACUUGAGGAGGGGCCUGCGGCGCAUUAGCUAGAUGGCGGGGUAAUAGCCCACCAUGGCAAUGAUGCGUAGCCGGACUGAGAGGUUGAACGGCCACAAUGGAACUGAGAACGGUCCAUACUCCUACGGGAGGCAGCAGUAGGGAAUUUUCGGCAAUGGGCGAAAGCCUGACCGAGCAACGCCGCGUGAACGAAGAAGUAUUUCGGUAUGUAAAGUUCUUUUAUUAGGGAAGAAAAGAUCAAGAUUGACGGUACCUAAUGAAUAAGCUCCGGCUAACUACGUGCCAGCCGCCGC